RNAcentral lists this ribosomal RNA (253 nucleotides) under uncultured bacterium. RNAcentral's name for it is "partial 16S ribosomal RNA". It matches the Rfam family "Bacterial small subunit ribosomal RNA", at positions 524 to 776 of the family's 1533-position model. The record is from RNAcentral.
UACGAAGGGGGCUAGCGUUGUUCGGAAUCACUGGGCGUAAAGGGCGCGUAGGCGGCUUGAUAAGUCGGAUGUGAAAGCCCCGGGCUCAACCCGGGAAGUGCACUCGAUACUGCCGAGCUAGAGUAUCGGAGAGGUUGGUGGAAUUCUCGGUGUAGAGGUGAAAUUCGUAGAUAUCGAGAGGAACACCGGUGGCGAAGGCGGCCAACUGGACGAAUACUGACGCUGAGACUCGAAAGCGUGGGGAGCAAACAGG